Non-coding RNA from Delphinapterus leucas (beluga whale), 3898 nucleotides. Lineage: Eukaryota; Metazoa; Chordata; Mammalia; Artiodactyla; Monodontidae. The record is from RefSeq and is a predicted model, not a curated record.
UGGGUGGUGGGUUGGGUAGGAUGGGUGAGUCUUCCCAGGCCCUUCAUUCCAUCUGAGCUACAUGUGCCAGGAGGAGCCCUUGAUAAGCCAAGACAGCUCUACAUAUGCCAGCCUCACACAGCUCAGCAGGGACUUGACACUGUCACACAAGUAGCUCUCAUCUUUCUGGGCAGUUGGCAAAUCCAAAAUUUCUAGAUACAGGGGUUUAAGGUGGUAAUCUGGAAGGAGAGAAGGAUUAGGGGCCUUGACUCGAGGCUGCUUUGUUCAGCAAGCAUAAAAUCUUUACUUAGCUUGAAUGCUUAUUUUGACAUAUUUUGGAGGGAGGCAGCUGGAGAUACUGGAGAGAGAUGCUAAGGAAACCCCAGGUCACCCCUAGAUACUGCGCAUGGAACCCAGGUUUGGUAAAUACUGCAAAGCCUCCAUAGUGUAAGAAGCAUGAGAUGUUUUUUUUGGAGAGUCUGAAUUCACUCUCCGGGAAAGUGUUUAUCAAAGUGUUGUCCUACUGAACUAGAAUAUCAGGGGUGAUGGUAGAGGGGAGGAUUUCCAGGAAGGGAGAGUCUGCAUAUUUGUUUGUUUGCUUGUUUGUUUAUCUAGCCACGCCAUGCGGCAUGUGGGAUCUCAGUUCCCCGACCAGAGAUUGAACCCGCACCUCCUGCAGUGGAAUUGUGGAGUCUUAACUACUGGACUGUCAGGGAAGUCCCUGCAUUUUUAAUAAGCAUCUUAGAUAGAGCUUAAUGGGGAGUAAAGUUUGGAUGUAUCAUCUAUGAAAAGAAUCUCAAGAUCACUUGCCUCUCUGAUGUAUGGAAUUUCUUCAUUUUUGUACAUUCUUCAGCUUUUGGUUUUGAUUAUGUCCUUGUAGUCUCUUGGGAUAGGAAUGCCUCUCCUGGAUUAUUUUCUCCACUGUGUCUAGGAAGUCUGCAUCUUUCCAAAUGAGUUGUGCUGUCAAAGAGUGUCCCUAGAAACCUCUCAUGUUCCAUCUAAGAGGAAGAUGACUUGCAUUUAUAGCACACAGUAUAGGCAGUGACCUUGGGCAAGAAGAAAAGCAAUGAUAUUAAUACCAUAUAUUUGAAUAAUGUUCUACAGUUAAGUUGAAUUAAAUUGCAUAGUUAAAUUCAUAAAUUAUAUGAUUACAUCAAUUCUCACAACUUGCUGUGAGGAUCGGUAAUAUUAUUCUUAUUUUACAGAUUAAGACAUUGAGGUUCAAAGAAGACAAGGCCUUACCAUAGGUCAGUGGACUUACAUAUGGAAGGAUGGGUCCUGGAGUCAGGGUCUUCCAACAACUGGCCUGCUGAUGCUGACUCAUGCCACCCAACGGCCUCCUGAAUGGCUUUCGUGCACAUACCUUGUAAGUUGAUGCUUAGAGCAGAGUUGUUGUGUCAGAUCACCUGGGCUCUGAUCUUUGUGAUUUCUGUGGGAAAAUCUCCAUUUAAGUUGCCAUGGACAUCCACGUGCUGAAUGAUCAUUUUCUCUUGGGAAAGACAUUUCUGAGUUGCUCUAGCCUUCCCCGUGUUACCUGAGGCCUCACUACUUUUGAAAUGGUUCACACUCUUACCUUAUUUGUGUGAUAUUACCCCAGGGAAAGGAUGAAUCUAAGAGUUCCAAAGAACCUUUCUCCUCAUAUCUGAUUAUGUUAUGUUUACAGACACAUCUAGGCAUAGGCUUUUUGGAUUUUCUACUGCUUUAUUUUGAUCAUCUUGAUUUAAUCCAUGUGAGCUCAUUUUCCUCAUUAAAGUCAUCUUAUUAAAGAAGGAAAAGGGACCUUAUAGGCUCCUGCUAGAUUUUCCUGAGCAACAGGGGUCCAUCCAGUCUCUGCCAUGCCCUUCUGGUGAUGGGGACACGCUGUCAGGGGCUGCAGCCCCUAAUAACUAGAUUCCUUUCAUUGUCACAUAAUUCUUUAUGUGGGCUGAGACUUUCAACCUUUAUCUUCCACACAUUGGUCCUUGUUUUGAUCUCUUAAGGAAUACAGAGGUCUUGUCCCUUGUUUUCAUGUGAGAGAUUUUCAAACACGCGAGCCAGUCAUCAUGUAGGUCUAGAGUUAGAUGAUUCAGAGCUGUUAUGGGCUGAAUUCUACCCCAAAGUUCACAUCUUUAAGUCCUGACCCCUAACUUCAGAAUGUGAUUGUGUUUGUAGAUAAUGUCUUGAAAGAGGCAAUAAAUUAAAAUGAGGUUAUUGGGGUAAGCCCUAUUCCAAUAUGGAUGGUGUCUUAAUAAUAAGAAGAAAUUAGGACACAGAGACACACAGAAAGAAGACCAUGUGAAGACCCAGGGAGAAGAUGGCCAUCUACAAGCCAAGGAGACAGGCCCCAGAGGAAACCAACCCUGACAACAUCUUAUCUCAGACUUCUAGCCUCCAGAACUGUGAGAAUAUAAAUGUCUGUGGUUUAAGCCACCCAGUUUGUGGUACCUUGCUAUGGCAGCCUGAGCAGACUAAUACAUGAAUCAAAUAUAUAUGGGGUUGGAGUCAAGGAGAUGGGGAAGAUCAACUAAGCAAAUGUGCAGGGGGAGAGGGUAAAAGGGCCAUGGGGUAAAAGCCUUACAGAGUAGGUAUUGGGAGAGGGCCUGGGAGCCAUACUGUGAGAAAAAUCGAGAGAGCACAGUGAAAGAAGACAUGGGAAGAAAGAGUUCUUUGCUCCUUUUAUACUGGGUUCUAAAUUCCUUAACCUUGUGUUCACUUUUGUCAACAUUGUCUUUAGUGCUUAAACACUCUCUCCUUUCCUUGUCCCCAUGCACCAAAUUUAGAAGGUGUGGGUUUUAAAUCUGAAAAUUGGUCAUCACAGCAUUCAAAGGUAAGGUUAAAGUGUUAAUAUUAGUGUUGUUGAAUUAGGGGGUCAGUCUCAGAAGUUCCUUGGGGAAUCAUUCUAAGAAUAUAUUUCUUUGACACAGAUUACAAAAUUCAAUUUCAGUGUAGAUUUAUGGUGGGGUAGUAAAAUACAUUAUGAAGCCAAACAAACAAGCAAAUAAAUAAACAAAAACCCCAAACCCCACAUAAUUCCCAGGUGCUUCUGAUGUGCACACUGUUUGGGAUACACUAAUUCAGAUGAAAAUAAAAAUGAAUUCCUUCUAUAUGCCUGGAAAUGAUGCCAGACCAUUGUAGAUUUCAAACUUCAUGAAAAAUUAAAAAUGUCCCCCUUUUGAGGGGAAUGUUUUAUGAAUCCAGUAAACAUAGCCUAAAUUUCCUAUUCUUAUUACCUUAUUACUUUUCAGAAUAAUGUUGAAAAUGAUGGUUAUCCUGGGAAAACCAGGAUAUUUGGGGAUGUUUAUGCUCCUUUUCCCAGCAAUGGCUUCCCCUGGCCAGCCGGCACUGUUCUUUUCCCAUAUUUCAGGAUCUCAGCGUGAAAGAAGCUAUGAAAGCUUACACCAGUCAAUCAUACUGACCAUCACGUUAUUCUUUGUGAUUUAGGAGAAUGCCCCUGUUUCCUCAAGUGCUCUAUCUGCUGAGAAUUAGGAACCAUUUCUAUGUACUAAAGAACUAUCGCUCACCAGGAAGUAUACUGUUCCUUCUUGUGGAGGAAAACUUAUGACAUUGAACUUGAUAACAGCCAUUAUUUUCACAAGCUCAAAUAAAACAAGUCUUCUUUGUCUCCCCUCCCACCUCUACAGGUUCAAGUAUGUGGAGGAGAACAAACUGAAAAGAAAGCAUCAUAGGUUUUAGACUGAAACAAAUCAGGGCUAACCAGUGGCUGAAAACCAACAACUGGAAGACACAAGAGAGAUGGAGGAAGCCCCUUGGCAGUAGAUGGCUGGGUCCCCGAGUCACCACCUGAAGAAGGACAACCCAGGAGUGUGUCUGACCAGGAAACCCCACUUUGGACUCGCCAUUGGUUCCGGACGCGCAGGCUCAGCGGCCAUGGUUCACGGGCCCAGCCGCUCCGCGGCAUAUGGUAUCUUCCCGGACCGGG